UUAAAUUGAAGAGUUUGAUCAUGGCUCAGAUUGAACGCUGGCGGCAGGCCUAACACAUGCAAGUCGAGCGGCAGCGGAAAGUAGCUUGCUACUUUGCCGGCGAGCGGCGGACGGGUGAGUAAUGUCUGGGAAACUGCCUGAUGGAGGGGGAUAACUACUGGAAACGGUAGCUAAUACCGCAUAACGUCGCAAGACCAAAGAGGGGGACCUUCGGGCCUCUUGCCAUCAGAUGUGCCCAGAUGGGAUUAGCUAGUAGGUGGGGUAACGGCUCACCUAGGCG
Molecule: ribosomal RNA, 280 nt
Filed under: Enterobacter asburiae
Lineage: Bacteria; Pseudomonadati; Pseudomonadota; Gammaproteobacteria; Enterobacterales; Enterobacteriaceae
Description: partial 16S ribosomal RNA
Rfam family: Bacterial small subunit ribosomal RNA
Source: RNAcentral